This 253-nucleotide ribosomal RNA is filed under the name uncultured bacterium. Its description in RNAcentral is "partial 16S ribosomal RNA". It matches the Rfam family "Bacterial small subunit ribosomal RNA", at positions 524 to 776 of the family's 1533-position model. The record is from RNAcentral.
UACGUAUGGGGCAAGCGUUAUCCGGAUUUACUGGGUGUAAAGGGAGCGUAGGCGGCGGGGCAAGCCUGAUGUGAAAGCCCGGGGCUCAACCCCGGGACUGCAUUGGGAACUGCCCUGCUGGAGUGCCGGAGGGGCAGGCGGAAUUCCUAGUGUAGCGGUGAAAUGCGUAGAUAUUAGGAGGAACACCAGUGGCGAAGGCGGCCUGCUGGACGGUGACUGACGCUGAGGCUCGAGAGCGUGGGGAGCAAACAGG